AUUCCAGCUCCAAUAGCGUAUAUUUAAGUUGUUGCAGUUAAAAAGCUCGUAGUUGGAUUUUGGUUAAGAGGGCGCGGUCGGCCGUUUGGUCUGUACUGCGUCGUCUUGACUUCCUGAUGAGGACAUGCUCUUGGUUAACGCUGAGACAUGGAGUCAUCGUGGUUACUUUGAAAAAAUUAGAGUGUUCAAAGCGGGCUUACGCUUGAAUAUAUUAGCAUGGAAUAACACUAUAGGACUCCUGUCCUAUCUCGUUGGUCUCGGGAUGGGAGUAAUGAUUAAGAGGAACAGUUGGGGGCAUUCGUAUUUCAUUGUCAGAGGUGAAAUUCUUGGAUUUAUGAAAGACGAACUUCUGCGAAAGCAUUUGCCAAGGAUGUUUUCAUUA
RNAcentral lists this ribosomal RNA (382 nucleotides) under Bathycoccus sp. RNAcentral's name for it is "partial small subunit ribosomal RNA". It matches the Rfam family "Eukaryotic small subunit ribosomal RNA", at positions 582 to 975 of the family's 1831-position model. The record is from RNAcentral. Lineage: Eukaryota; Viridiplantae; Chlorophyta; Mamiellophyceae; Mamiellales; Bathycoccaceae.